This 1287-nucleotide ribosomal RNA is filed under the name metagenome. RNAcentral's name for it is "bacterial SSU rRNA". It matches the Rfam family "Bacterial small subunit ribosomal RNA", at positions 242 to 1520 of the family's 1533-position model. The record is from RNAcentral.
UAGCUAGUUGGUGAGGUAACGGCUUACCAAGGCGACGAUCUGUAGCGGGUCUGAGAGGAUGAUCCGCCACACUGGAACUGAGACACGGUCCAGAUUCCUACGGGAGGCAGCAGUGGGGAAUUUUGGACAAUGGGGGCAACCCUGAUCCAGCCAUGCCGCGUGAGUGAAGAAGGCCUUCGGGUUGUAAAGCUCUUUCGGCCGGGAAGAAAUCGCAUGGGCCAAUACCCUGUGUGGAUGACGGUACCGGAAUAAGAAGCACCGGCUAACUACGAGCCAGCAGCCGCUGUAAUACGUAGGGUGCGAGCGUUAGUCGGAAUUACUGGGCGUAAAGCGUGCGCAGGCGGUUUUGUAAGACAGGCGUGAAAUCCCCGGGCUCAACCUGGGAACUGCGUUUGUGACUGCAAGGCUAGAGUACGGCAGAGGGGGGUGGAAUUCCACGUGUAGCAGUGAAAUGCGUAGAGAUGUGGAGGAACACCAAUGGCGAAGGCAGCCCCCUGGGUCGAUACUGACGCUCAUGCACGAAAGCGUGGGUAGCAAACAGGAUUAGAUACCCUGGUAGUCCACGCCCUAAACUAUGUCAACUAGGUGUUGGGUGGGUAAAACCAUUUAGUACCGUAGCUAACGCGUGAAGUUGACCGCCUGGGGAGUACGGCCGCAAGGUUAAAACUCAAAGGAAUUGACGGGGACCCGCACAAGCGGUGGAUGAUGUGGAUUAAUUCGAUGCAACGCGAAAAACCUUACCUACCCUUGACAUGCCAGGAACUUGCCAGAGAUGGCUUGGUGCCCGAAAGGGAGCCUGGACACAGGUGCUGCAUGGCUGUCGUCAGCUCGUGUCGUGAGAUGUUGGGUUAAGUCCCGCAACGAGCGCAACCCUUGUCGUUAAUUGCCAUCAUUUAGUUGGGCACUUUAGCGAGACUGCCGGUGACAAACCGGAGGAAGGUGGGGAUGACGUCAAGUCCUCAUGGCCCUUAUGGGUAGGGCUUCACACGUCAUACAAUGGUCGGUACAGAAGGUCGCCAAGCCGCGAGGCGGAGCCAAUCCCAGAAAGCCGAUCGUAGUCCGGAUUGCAGGCUGCAACUCGCCUGCAUGAAGUCGGAAUCGCUAGUAAUCGUGGAUCAGCAUGUCACGGUGAAUACGUUCCCGGGUCUUGUACACACCGCCCGUCACACCAUGGGAGCGGGUUCCGCCAGAAGUAGGUAGCCUAACCGCAAGGAGGGCGCUUACCACGGCGGGGUUCGUGACUGGGGUGAAGUCGUAACAAGGUAGCCGUAGGGGAACCUGCGGCUG